GAUUAAGUUAUUAAGGGCGCACGGUGGAUGCCUUGGCACUAGAAGCCGAUGAAGGACGUUACUAACGACGAUAUGCUUUGGGGAGCUGUAAGUAAGCUUUGAUCCAGAGAUUUCCGAAUGGGGAAACCCAGCAUGAGUUAUGUCAUGUUAUCGAUAUGUGAAUACAUAGCAUAUCAGAAGGCACACCCGGAGAACUGAAACAUCUUAGUACCCGGAGGAAGAGAAAGAAAAUUCGAUUCCCUUAGUAGCGGCGAGCGAAACGGGA
Molecule: ribosomal RNA, 265 nt
Filed under: Staphylococcus aureus
Lineage: Bacteria; Bacillati; Bacillota; Bacilli; Caryophanales; Staphylococcaceae
Description: partial 23S ribosomal RNA
Rfam family: Bacterial large subunit ribosomal RNA
Source: RNAcentral